Long non-coding RNA from Panicum hallii, 221 nucleotides. RefSeq lists it as uncharacterized. Lineage: Eukaryota; Viridiplantae; Streptophyta; Magnoliopsida; Poales; Poaceae. The record is from RefSeq and is a predicted model, not a curated record. The transcript is spliced from 2 exons.
UUGCCCAGAUUUUCUACGGCAUUUAAUUAAGAAAGGGUAUAAGUACAAAGACGAUGCUACAAAGAGGGGAUAGAUGGCUGAAAGUCGCCAAUGGAGUUAGAGCCGACGUUGAAGCAGUUUGUCAACUCACGUUAGAGUUAGAGAAUGGCUUUAAACUCCAGUUACAUAAUGUUCUUUAUGUACCCUCUUUGUCUAGAAAUUUAAUUUCAGUAUCAUGCUUG